UAGGGAAUCUUCCGCAAUGGGCGAAAGCCUGACGGAGCAACGCCGCGUGAGUGAUGAAGGUCUUCGGAUCGUAAAACUCUGUUAUUAGGGAAGAACAAAUGUGUAAGUAACUAUGCACGUCUUGACGGUACCUAAUCAGAAAGCCACGGCUAACUACGUGCCAGCAGCCGCGGUAAUACGUAGGUGGCAAGCGUUAUCCGGAAUUAUUGGGCGUAAAGCGCGCGUAGGCGGUUUUUUAAGUCUGAUGUGAAAGCCCACGGCUCAACCGUGGAGGGUCAUUGGAAACUGGAAAACUUGAGUGCAGAAGAGGAAAGUGGAAUUCCAUGUGUAGCGGUGAAAUGCGCAGAGAUAUGGAGGAACACCAGUGGCGAAGGCGACGUUCUGGUCUGUAACUGACGCUGAUGUGCGAAAGCGUGGGGAUCAAACAGG
RNAcentral lists this ribosomal RNA (429 nucleotides) under Actinomycetes bacterium. RNAcentral's name for it is "Actinobacteria bacterium partial 16S ribosomal RNA". It matches the Rfam family "Bacterial small subunit ribosomal RNA", at positions 355 to 776 of the family's 1533-position model. The record is from RNAcentral. Lineage: Bacteria; Bacillati; Actinomycetota; Actinomycetes.